CCUUCGGGAAACGAGUAAACUGGCGCACGGGUGAGUAACGCGUAGGUUAUCUGCCCCUUUCUCAAGCAUAACUUCGUGAAAACGGAGCUAAUACUUGAUGAGGCCUCCGGGUCAAAGAUUACGGAAAGGGAUGAGCCUGCGUCUGAUUAGAUAGUUGGUGGGGUAAUGGCCUACCAAGUCAACGAUCAGUAGCUGGUCUGAGAGGACGAUCAGCCACACUGGAACUGAGACACGGUCCAGACUCCUACGGGAGGCAGCAGUAAGGAAUUUUGGUCAAUGGGGGAAACCCUGAACCAGCGACGCCGUGUGUGGGAUGAAGGGGCUACGCUCUGUAAACCACUGUCAGAUAGGAAAAAAAGUACCCUCGGGGUACCGGGAUUGUACUAUCAGAGGAAGGACCGGCUAACUACGUGCCAGCAGCCGCGGUAAUACGUAGGGUCCAAGCGUUGUCCGGAUUUACUGGGUAUAAAGGGUCCGCAGGCGGGCCUGUGCGCCGAAUGUUAAAGCCCACGGCUCAACCGUGGAACAGCACUCGAUACGGCAGGUCUUGAAUAUGAGAGAGGUAGGUGGAAUUCCUGGUGUAGCGGUGAAAUGCGUAGAUAUCAGGAGGAACACCAGUGGCGAAGGCGGCCUACUGGCUCAUUAUUGACGCUCAGGGACGAAAGCGUGGGGAGCGAACAGGAUUAGAUACCCUGGUAGUCCACGCCCUAAACGAUGUAUGCUUGGUGUUCGCUUGCGAGUGCCGGAGGAAAUCCGUUAAGCAUACCACCUGGGAAGUACGAUCGCAAGGUUGAAACUCAAAGGAAUUGACGGGGGCCCGCACAAGCGGUGGAUUAUGUGGUUUAAUUCGAUGCAAC
Molecule: ribosomal RNA, 857 nt
Filed under: marine bacterium enrichment culture clone E01-C1-S7
Lineage: Bacteria
Description: bacterial SSU rRNA
Rfam family: Bacterial small subunit ribosomal RNA
Source: RNAcentral